This 253-nucleotide ribosomal RNA is filed under the name uncultured bacterium. RNAcentral's name for it is "partial 16S ribosomal RNA". It matches the Rfam family "Bacterial small subunit ribosomal RNA", at positions 524 to 776 of the family's 1533-position model. The record is from RNAcentral.
UACGGAGGAGGCAAGCGUUAUCCGGAAUUGUUGGGCGUAAAGCGUCCGCAGGUGGCAAUUCAAGUCUGUGGUUAAAGACUGGGGCUUAACCCUGGAAAGGCCAUGGAAACUGAAUAGCUAGAGUGCAGUAGGGGUAGAGGGAAUUCCCGGUGUAGCGGUGAAAUGCGUAGAGCUCGGGAAGAACAUCGGUGGCGAAAGCGCUCUGCUGGACUGCAACUGACACUCAGGGACGAAAGCUAGGGGAGCGAAUGGG